AGCAGCCGCGGUAAUUCCAGCUCCAAUAGCGUAUAUUAAAGUUGUUGCAGUUAAAAAGCUCGUAGUUGAAUUUCGGGAUUAGUACGCUGGUCAUACCUCUGGUAUGUACUGGUGUUACUGAUUCCUACCUUCUGACGAAUCGUCAUGUCAUUAAUUUGGUGUGGCGGGGAAUCAGGACUGUUACUUUAGAAAAAAUUAGAGUGUUUAAAGCAGGCUCGCGCUUGAAUACAUUAGCAUGGAGUAAUGAAAUAGGACGUUUGAUCCUAUUUUGUUGGUUUCUAGGAUUGACGUAAUGAUUAAUAGGGAUAGUUGGGGGCGAU
Molecule: ribosomal RNA, 320 nt
Filed under: uncultured Glomus
Lineage: Eukaryota; Fungi; Glomeromycota; Glomeromycetes; Glomerales; Glomeraceae
Description: SSU rRNA
Rfam family: Eukaryotic small subunit ribosomal RNA
Source: RNAcentral